Molecule: ribosomal RNA, 933 nt
Filed under: Vanhoeffenella sp.
Lineage: Eukaryota; Foraminifera; Astrorhizida; Astrorhizidae
Description: bacterial SSU rRNA
Rfam family: Eukaryotic small subunit ribosomal RNA
Source: RNAcentral
AAGGGCACCACAAGAACGCGUGGAGCAUGUGGCUUAAUUUGACUCAACGCGGGAAAUCUUACCGGGUCCGGACACACUGAGGAUUGACAGGUUUAUAUAGUAAAAUGACUUGCUUAUUUUAUCAUAAAAUAUGCUAGUCCUUUCAUGAUUGUGUGAUAGGUGGUGCAUGGCCGUUCUUAGUUCGUGGAGUGAUCUGUCUGCUUAAUUGCGUUUCACAAGCGGUAUAAAAAAGGUUGACCACAUCUGUUCUAGCUUGUCUAGUUACAGUGUACUUCCUACAAAAAACCGCGAAGGCAACGAACGUGACCGCAACCCGUUGUUGCCUCUCUAACCAUAAUACUUGUGGAUCCUACGCUUUCGGGCUAGCCCAUAAUGUAUAGUAGAGGGAAACUACGGGGACUGCUGAUUCUUUUCAAAACAGAGGAAGGUUGCGGCAAUAACAGGUCUGUGAUGCCCUUAGAUGUUCCGGGCUGCACACGUGCUACAAUGAUUAGUGCAGUAAGAAUCUUCAACAGCUUAGAAACAUUUGUGCGAAACACCCUCGGGUGUCGAGCCUUUUGUUUUACUUCGCCUACUUCGAAAGUAAGCAGGUAAUCAAUUCGAAGUACUGAUUUCCAUUUCAAGCGCAUGUAUGAGCAUAUCACUUCACCUUGUGUGUUGUAAUAUGUUUUGCCUUAAUUUUAUUUCUUGGUGGGGACAGACCCUUGUUAAUUAUUGGUCUCGUUUUCAACUAGGAAUGCCUUGUACGGGUCUUUGGUUCAACAAACCACCCGGAAUAUGUCCCUGCCCUUUGUACACACCGCCCGUCGCUCUUACCGAUGGACUAUUCUGUGAGUUUGAGGGACUGCUGCUUUUAUCAGCACUUGUGUUGGUUAAGCGGCGGAAACUUAAACGAACAGUGUGGUCUAAAGGAAAGAGAAGUCGAACAAGGCA